This is a non-coding RNA of Pteropus alecto (black flying fox), 120 nucleotides long. The record is from Rfam. NCBI's taxonomy places the organism in Eukaryota, Metazoa, Chordata, Mammalia, Chiroptera, Pteropodidae.
GCCUACGGCCAUGCUACCCUGAACAAAUCCGAUCCCGUCUGAUCUCGUGAAGCUAAGCAGGGUCAGGCCUGGUUAGUACUUGGAUGGGAGACCACCUAGGAAGACCAGGUGCUGUAGGCA